This 223-nucleotide ribosomal RNA is filed under the name uncultured bacterium. Its description in RNAcentral is "partial 16S ribosomal RNA". It matches the Rfam family "Bacterial small subunit ribosomal RNA", at positions 1277 to 1500 of the family's 1533-position model. The record is from RNAcentral.
UAAACGUCUCAGUUCGGAUUGUAGUCUGCAACUCGACUACAUGAAGCUGGAAUCGCUAGUAAUCGCAGAUCAGAAUGCUGCGGUGAAUACGUUCCCGGGUCUUGUACACACCGCCCGUCACACCAUGGGAGUCGGAAAUGCCCGAAGCCGGUGACCCAAACCAAAAGGGAGGGAGCCGUCGAAGGCAGGUCUGAUAACUGGGGUGAAGUCGUAACAAGGUACC